CCACUGGCAGCCGAACGUGGCUUUUCAAGUGAAGUGUGAAUGGGAAUUGAUGAUGUUGUGGUAAUGUUUGAUGGUAGAUGAAGCGUAAAUGGAAGUAUUUAUGAAGAAAUUUGUAAGAAUGUGUGUGUGAGAGAGAGAGAGAUAAGAUUCAAUAGAGAGCAAGAGAGGCAAUGGGUACUGAAAUUUAAGUAAUCCCCCCCACCCCAUUACAAGAAAAUCAAGGAGCCAAAUCAAAUAAUAAUAGCUUGAAAUGUUAUUACGAAGCUUUGGGGAGGAGUUUUGUGUGGGUCUCAAGUUAAUUUUGGCUCGUGUUUUAGGCAGGUUGAUAUCACAUGGAUCAGGGGUGGAGGUUUGUCCAAUAAAAACUUGACUAAGAUAUGUACCGUAGUGAAUUUAUGUGACAAUUUCAUUUGGUAUUUUGGACAAAACUAUUUAUUUUUCUUACAAAAUUGGACAAAACUAAUAUACA
RNAcentral lists this long non-coding RNA (469 nucleotides) under Medicago truncatula (barrel medic). RNAcentral describes it as "lncRNA gene50550". The record is from RNAcentral. Lineage: Eukaryota; Viridiplantae; Streptophyta; Magnoliopsida; Fabales; Fabaceae.